GGGUUGUGAGGUUAAGCGACUAAGCGUACACGGUGGAUGCCCUGGCAGUCAGAGGCGAUGAAGGACGUGCUAAUCUGCGAUAAGCGCCGGUAAGGUGAUAUGAACCGUUAUAACCGGCGAUUUCCGAAUGGGGAAACCCAGUGUGAUUCGUCACACUAUCAUUAACUGAAUCCAUAGGUUAAUGAGGCGAACCGGGGGAACUGAAACAUCUAAGUACCCCGAGGAAAAGAAAUCAACCGAGAUUCCCCCAGUAGCGGCGAGCGAACGGGGAGGAGCCCAGAGCCUGAAUCAGCAUGUGUGUUAGUGGAAGCGUCUGGAAAGGCGCGCGAUACAGGGUGACAGCCCCGUACACAAAAGCGCAUGUGCUGUGAGCUCGAUGAGUAGGGCGGGACACGUGGUAUCCUGUCUGAAUAUGGGGGGACCAUCCUCCAAGGCUAAAUACUCCUGACUGACCGAUAGUGAACCAGUACCGUGAGGGAAAGGCGAAAAGAACCCCGGCGAGGGGAGUGAAAAAGAACCUGAAACCGUGUACGUACAAGCAGUGGGAGCACAGGUUUACCUGUGUGACUGCGUACCUUUUGUAUAAUGGGUCAGCGACUUAUAUUCUGUAGCAAGGUUAACCGUAUAGGGGAGCCGGAGGGAAACCGAGUCUUAACCGGGCGUUAAGUUGCAGGGUAUAGACCCGAAACCCGGUGAUCUAGCCAUGGGCAGGUUGAAGGUUGGGUAACACUAACUGGAGGACCGAACCGACUAAUGUUGAAAAAUUAGCGGAUGACCUGUGGCUGGGGGUGAAAGGCCAAUCAAACCGGGAGAUAGCUGGUUCUCCCCGAAAGCUAUUUAGGUAGCGCCUCGUGAAUUCAUCUCCGGGGGUAGAGCACUGUUUCGGCUAGGGGGCCAUCCCGGCUUACCAACCCGAUGCAAACUGCGAAUACCGGAGAAUGUUAUCACGGGAGACACACGGCGGGUGCUAACGUCCGUCGUGAAGAGGGAAACAACCCAGACCGCCAGCUAAGGUCCCAAAGUCAUGGUUAAGUGGGAAACGAUGUGGGAAGGCCCAGACAGCCAGGAUGUUGGCUUAGAAGCAGCCAUCAUUUAAAGAAAGCGUAAUAGCUCACUGGUCGAGUCGGCCUGCGCGGAAGAUGUAACGGGGCUAAACCAUGCACCGAAGCUGCGGCAGCGACACUCAGGUGUUGUUGGGUAGGGGAGCGUUCUGUAAGCCUGUGAAGGUGGCCUGUGAGGGUUGCUGGAGGUAUCAGAAGUGCGAAUGCUGACAUAAGUAACGAUAAAGCGGGUGAAAAGCCCGCUCGCCGGAAGACCAAGGGUUCCUGUCCAACGUUAAUCGGGGCAGGGUGAGUCGACCCCUAAGGCGAGGCCGAAAGGCGUAGUCGAUGGGAAACGGGUUAAUAUUCC
This 1410-nucleotide ribosomal RNA is filed under the name Salmonella enterica. Its description in RNAcentral is "partial 23S ribosomal RNA". It matches the Rfam family "Bacterial large subunit ribosomal RNA", at positions 1 to 1439 of the family's 2925-position model. Lineage: Bacteria; Pseudomonadati; Pseudomonadota; Gammaproteobacteria; Enterobacterales; Enterobacteriaceae. The record is from RNAcentral.